CUUCCUCGAUCUGCUGCGGGCAGAUGAAAGGGAUAUGGCUGUCCAUGCCGCCGGCGGUGACGAUCUUGCCUUCCCCGGCAAUCACUUCCGUGCCCGGCCCGACGAUGAUGGUCACGCCCGGCUGCGUAUCCGGAUUACCAGCCUUGCCGAUGGCGACGAUGCGCCCAUCCUUCAGCCCGAUAUCGGCCUUGACGAUGCCCCAAUGGUCGAGGAUGACCGCAUUGGUGAUGACGGUAUCGACCGCGCCCUCGGCGCGCGUCACCUGGCUCUGGCCCAUGCCGUCGCGGAUG
This is a non-coding RNA of Rhizobiales bacterium 63-7, 290 nucleotides long. NCBI's taxonomy places the organism in Bacteria, Pseudomonadati, Pseudomonadota, Alphaproteobacteria, Hyphomicrobiales. The record is from Rfam.